GUUUUGGAUUUUGAGCCACACCCAGCGCUGCUCAGGGCUUACUCCUGACUCUACUCACGGAUCAUUCCUGGCUGGCUCGUGGACCAUACAGAUGGGAUGCUGAGGAUCCAACUCUGAUUGGAAACACUUCUGCUCAUCACUGAAGCUAUCAAUAAGAACCAAUAGAUGUUUAUACCUUGAACAUUUGAGCAUUUGAUCAUUUGCAUGAAGUCAAGCUGCCAAUCCUCUUCCAGUUACCAGAGAGUGAAACGGACCCUCUGUGUCUAAAGACUUUGAUUCCAGAGACCUAACGCAUUCGGGCAUCCAGCGCAGCUUCUAAUAGCAAUGCACUGGGACUGUGAACUGGGCUACAACUCCAUACUGCCU
Sorex araneus (European shrew) is the source of this 366-nucleotide long non-coding RNA. RefSeq lists it as uncharacterized. NCBI's taxonomy places the organism in Eukaryota, Metazoa, Chordata, Mammalia, Eulipotyphla, Soricidae. The transcript has 3 exons. The record is from RefSeq and is a predicted model, not a curated record.